UACGGAGGGUGCAAGCGUUGUUCGGAUUUAUUGGGCGUAAAGCGCGUGUAGGCGGUCUCUUAAGUCUGAUGUGAAAGCCCCGGGCUCAACCCGGGAAGUGCAUUGGAUACUGGGAGACUUGAAUACGGGAGAGGGUAGUGGAAUUCCUAGUGUAGGAGUGAAAUCCGUAGAUAUUAGGAGGAACACCGGUGGCGAAGGCGGCUACCUGGACCGAUAUUGACGCUGAGACGCGAAAGCGUGGGGAG
RNAcentral lists this ribosomal RNA (245 nucleotides) under uncultured bacterium. RNAcentral's name for it is "partial 16S ribosomal RNA". It matches the Rfam family "Bacterial small subunit ribosomal RNA", at positions 524 to 768 of the family's 1533-position model. The record is from RNAcentral.